This is a long non-coding RNA of Etheostoma cragini (Arkansas darter), 576 nucleotides long. RefSeq lists it as uncharacterized. NCBI's taxonomy places the organism in Eukaryota, Metazoa, Chordata, Actinopteri, Perciformes, Percidae. The record is from RefSeq and is a predicted model, not a curated record. The transcript has 3 exons.
GGGAGCAAAACCCAACACGGACCAUUCCUUAGCUUGAUCUCCUGCACACUACAGAUACUUUGUUCUUCUGAAUAUGGCCAUCAAGCUCCCAGUACUUCUUCUGACAGAAUUUGGAUUGAAGACCAGCUACCCAACCUGAGGGCUAUUUCACAAAAACGAGGAUCUGGGUGGCUCAGGCUCUGUGCUCUCUUUGCUCACAUCUUACUUGACAGACCGAACCUACAGGGUAACUUGGAGAGGAUCUACCUCAAAACCUUGCCCACUCAAAACUGGGGUUCCUCAGGGAUCAGUACUGGGCCACCUCCUCUUUUCUCUGUACACCAAAUCUCUCAGGUUGCACGGCUUUUUGCAUCACAGCUACGCAGAUGACACCCAACUAAUUCUCUCUAUUCCCUGAGUUUGAAACUCAAGUAGUAGCAUGUAUCUCGGCUUGUCUGACUGACAUUUCUUCUUGUAUGUCUACACACCAUCUGAACUCAACCUUGACAAGACAAAGCUCCUUUUCCUUUCAGGAAAGGGCUCUCCUACCCAAGACCUGACUAUAACAAUUGACCACCCAGACUGCUAGAAACCUGG